AUGCAACCAAGAUCGAUCGCCAAGCGACGUGCGGUGGAUGCCGCCGACGUGCUCCCGGACGACCUCCUGCACGAGAUCUUCGCGCGCGUGGCGCCGGGCCUCCUCGACCUCAUUCGCUGCGCGGGCACGUGCGCGCGUUGGUUCCGGCUGAUCACCGGCCCGGCUUUCCUCCGGCGCGUCGGCAUCUCGCCGGAGAACACACGCCAUCGGUUCUCCUUCCUCUUUGGUGCCUUCUUCGGACCCGAAGCGAUACCCGUGCACCUGAACGCGCCCAGGAAAAGGAUAUCCGACUCGCCUCCGCGAUUCUUCAGGCUACGUGCGCAGCAGACCGGCGGCGAGCGUCUCACCUUCACCUCGUUCAUCCACAACAACAAUGGAACCUUCAACUACGCCAAGCCCCUGGUGUCGCAUCGCGGCCUUCUCCUCAUGCGCCGCCGCAUGCCCCAUGACUUGGAGAAGAUCCAUCUGGCCGUGUGCCACCCCUUGUUGGGCGCUCGGAGCACGCGUCUCCUCCCACCACCUCCGCAGGAUUUGGGCACCAUGGGCGUUUGGUAUGAUAUGACCGGCUAUGCCCUUGUUACUGCGGCAGACCACCGCGCCGCCGGUGAUCUAGACCACCGCAGGCAGCCACUGUUCCAAGUGCUUUUCACCACUAUAUGCUUCCAAAAAAAACGGGUGUACGCCUUCUCUUACUCCUCUGCCACGAAUAGUUGGAGUGCACCUAUCAAGUGCUCCCAAACUUUCGGCCUCACUAGGUCUGGGCCACUGGCUGGUGUGGUCAGCGGAAGCAUCGUGCAUUGGUUGUACACAAAUAAUAUAAACUUCUACACUCUCAACAUAUUCGCUGACGCAACACACGUGUCCUUAACCGAGAUCCCUAUUGAACUCAAAAGUGGCUUGCCACCGUUCCCAUGCAUCGUCGGGGAAGGAAAGCUCUCAUUUGUUUAUACAAGCACCGACAAUGUCCUAGAACUUUGGACGAAGCGAGAACAAGACAAUGAUCAUAGUGCUGAAGGUAAGGAAGGAUGGGUGCAGUCCGAGCUGAUGCCCCUAGAGGUCAAGGGAAUUGAAAUCUUGUCCUUCGCAGAGAGGUCAUGUGUGAUACUCAUGAUGCAGAAAGAGUGUCCUACCAUAUUCAGUCUUGACCUCGUGACCAAGAAAAUACAGCCGGUGAUAAGGGAAAACCGUAAUCUGGCCAUGUUUUAUUCAUAUAACGGCGAUGAAAUGUGGAGGUGCAAGAACCAUGUGCUCUACGAGAUUGAUUGGCCGUCAUACCUAUUUCACCUCUCGGCUGGAAGCUAA
This 1302-nucleotide ribosomal RNA is filed under the name Triticum aestivum (bread wheat). RNAcentral describes it as "partial small subunit ribosomal RNA". Lineage: Eukaryota; Viridiplantae; Streptophyta; Magnoliopsida; Poales; Poaceae. The record is from RNAcentral.